Molecule: ribosomal RNA, 490 nt
Filed under: uncultured bacterium
Lineage: Bacteria
Description: partial 16S ribosomal RNA
Rfam family: Bacterial small subunit ribosomal RNA
Source: RNAcentral
AGUGAACGCUGGCGGCAGGCCUAACACAUGCAAGUCGAACGGCAGCACAAUAGAGCUUGCUCUCUGGGUGGCGAGUGGCGGACGGGUGAGGAAUGCAUCUGAAUCUGUCCAUUUGUGGGGGAUAACCUCGCGAAACCGUGACUAAUACCGCAUACGACCUCCGGGUGAAAGCAGGGGAUCUUCGGACCUUGCGCAGAUGGAUGAGCCGAUGCCGGAUUAGCUAGUUGGAGGGGUAAAGGCCCACCAAGGCGACGAUCCGUAGCUGGUCUGAGAGGAUGAUCAGCCACACUGGGACUGAGACACGGCCCAGACUCCUACGGGAGGCAGCAGUGGGGAAUAUUGGACAAUGGGCGCAAGCCUGAUCCAGCCAUGCCGCGUGUGUGAAGAAGGCCUUCGGGUUGUAAAGCACUUUUGUUGGGAAAGAAAAGCAGCCGGUUAAUACCCGGUUGUCAUGACGGUACCCAAAGAAUAAGCACCGGCUAACUUCGUG